GCCCGCUUGGUGGAAUGGUAGACACGGUAGCCUUAAAAGCUACUCUCCACGAGGUAUCGGUUCGAGUCCGGUAGCGGGCA
Molecule: transfer RNA, 80 nt
Filed under: Hymenobacter sp.
Lineage: Bacteria; Pseudomonadati; Bacteroidota; Cytophagia; Cytophagales; Hymenobacteraceae
Description: tRNA-Leu
Rfam family: tRNA
About the family: Transfer RNA (tRNA) molecules are approximately 80 nucleotides in length. Their secondary structure includes four short double-helical elements and three loops (D, anti-codon, and T loops).
Source: RNAcentral